Molecule: long non-coding RNA, 1758 nt
Filed under: Zea mays
Lineage: Eukaryota; Viridiplantae; Streptophyta; Magnoliopsida; Poales; Poaceae
Description: long non-coding RNA (ZMAY_LNC004624)
Source: RNAcentral
UUUGUUGUUUUAUUUGUACAAUAUAAUCAGAACCACUCAAGUUCUUUGCUCAACCACCCAAGUUCAUCUCUGUAAAAUCAGAAGCACAACAAUCAACACUCAGUAGUCUGCAUAAGCACAACCACAAGAGAAUAGAACACUAGUACACUGUCGAAAUUCCAAAUUAACAAGAAUAGUCGUUGCUUCCUGCCUUGCCUUCCUUUUUGUCCAUGUUGUGUUGCACACAGAAUCCAAAAUCGUAGCCCGUUGAGGUGAACCAUAUGGCACCAGUUGACAUACUCUCACCUUUACCUUGCCAUCAUGAGGUAGCCGCGGAGAUAAAUAGAGAGAGAGAGGUAGAGGUCUGUCGGAGAUAGAGUUCGUCCACACCGUGGUGCUACCUGAUCUAGUGGCCAAGAUGCUCCACCAAACAAUUCCGGACGUGGUCGAGGCGGUGUCAAACGCGGAGAGCGAUGGAGAAGAGAGAAAUUGCUCACCAGAGCAAUUUGGCCAUCGCGGUGUUGCCAUUGGAUGUGUCCAGCAUCCUCCACAGCGACAACUCCGGUAAGAAACAUGCCAUAACAUUCGCCUUCUUGUCCUCUUUCUCUCUUGUACCGAAUAGAUUCGAGAGUGGAACGAUGGGAGAGUAGAUGGGCUCCGCGCCGGCGAUGGCGCCGCGCUAUCGGGUGCAUGCGUCGCUGCGCUGGGUUGUCAAGAGAAGGAAGAAAGUGUGAGAUCCAUCGAUUCCACGGUGUGGGUACCAGAUUAUUAGAAGUCGGUUAACGUUUCAGCCGGUUUGAUUUUAGGAAACUCAACAAGAAUCAAUAUCAAGCGCAUGAGAAUCAAUCGUAUCGAGUUGGGUAGCUUCCUUUUCUGGUCCGUCCGAUCCAUAUCAAGCGCAUGAGAAUCAAUCGUGUUGUUUUAAAUCUUGUCCGUCCAUCGCUGAUCCAGUGGUCUGCGUAGGUACCGAUUCCUUUAGUGGUCCAAUCUAAUCGCGACCAUCGGAUAAAGAUCCAGCGGCGGACAUGCACAGAUACCCCUCCGCAUGCCAGCCUUCCUAAAAGAGCAUCUGGAAAAUAUUGAAACUAACCCGCAAUCCAUGGCAAUAUAAAUUCUAUUACAAAACACUAUAGAUUUUAUUACAAUAGACUCUCAGCUCUCGGGUAUUAGAACCUACCGUCUCCUUCUUAGAGAAAAACAAAUAAAGUAAAUUAAGAAAAUCGUGGAAAACAUCAGAAAAACGUUUUCAAGUGUAAAAUUAAUAUAAAAUAACCUAGAAAUCAUAAAAAUUAAUAUCUUAUUCAUUUAACUCCGUUUUAGUGGUUCUCAAACCUACGAUAUCGUAGCGCCAUCUAGAACAUUCUUACGCAGCUUGAUUUCAUAUUUGGUGUAAUGUUAUUUGUAUCAUUAUUUGCUUAUUUGUAUAUAUUGCUACGAGUAGAAGCGAGGUUACGAGGAAUCUGAACCCAAUUUUGAGAACUACCUGGAGUUGUACCAAAAAGACAACUUGUGUCCUUGAUAACAUUCUUUGACCUAACAAUAUUUAUGAUUUUGUUAUCACCGUGGCACAUUUAGGCUAAAUUGAUGAGAAGCCUUACACUAUACUUUCCUCCACACUUGCUGAGCGGUGACCGUAUGAGAGCUCACCCUUACUAUAACCACACUAGGUCAAGAGCAGGUACCGCCAAGAGGAGGAUUAUGAAGAUGAGUUCGGAGAGGUCUAUGUCGUUGUCUCCCAGUCAACUAGGGUUGUGGAGGAUCGUUGUCGUCAUAUGGUGU